CGAGUCGGCCUGCGCGGAAGAUGUAACGGGGCUAAACUAUGCACCGAAGCUGCGGCAGCGAUAUGUAAAUAUUGUUGGGUAGGGGAGCGUUCUGUAAGCCUGUGAAGGUGUACUGUGAGGUAUGCUGGAGGUAUCAGAAGUGCGAAUGCUGACAUAAGUAACGAUAAUGCGGGUGAAAAACCCGCACGCCGGAAGACCAAGGGUUCCUGUCCAACGUUAAUCGGGGC
This 227-nucleotide ribosomal RNA is filed under the name Providencia rettgeri. RNAcentral describes it as "partial 23S ribosomal RNA". It matches the Rfam family "Bacterial large subunit ribosomal RNA", at positions 1150 to 1375 of the family's 2925-position model. The record is from RNAcentral. Lineage: Bacteria; Pseudomonadati; Pseudomonadota; Gammaproteobacteria; Enterobacterales; Morganellaceae.